CCAAGUGGUAAGGCAACGGGUUUUGGUCCCGCUAUGCGGAGGUUCGAAUCCUUCCGUCCCAG
This 62-nucleotide transfer RNA is filed under the name Gossypium arboreum. It matches the Rfam family "tRNA", at positions 11 to 71 of the family's 71-position model. From Rfam's summary of the family: Transfer RNA (tRNA) molecules are approximately 80 nucleotides in length. Their secondary structure includes four short double-helical elements and three loops (D, anti-codon, and T loops). Further hydrogen bonds mediate the characteristic L-shaped molecular structure. tRNAs have two regions of fundamental functional importance: the anti-codon, which is responsible for specific mRNA codon recognition, and the 3' end, to which the tRNAs corresponding amino acid is attached (by aminoacyl-tRNA synthetases). tRNAs cope with the degeneracy of the genetic code in two manners: having more than one tRNA (with a specific anti-codon) for a particular amino acid; and 'wobble' base-pairing, i.e. permitting non-standard base-pairing at the 3rd anti-codon position. The record is from Rfam by way of RNAcentral. Lineage: Eukaryota; Viridiplantae; Streptophyta; Magnoliopsida; Malvales; Malvaceae.